GUCUACGGCCAUACCACCCUGAACACGCCCAAUCUUGUCUGAUCUCGGAAGCUAAGCAGGGUCGGGCCUGAUUAGUACUUGGAUGGGACAUGGCAGGUAUAAGGGAAACAGGUACUCUGCU
RNAcentral lists this ribosomal RNA (121 nucleotides) under Octodon degus (degu). The record is from RNAcentral. Lineage: Eukaryota; Metazoa; Chordata; Mammalia; Rodentia; Octodontidae.